Long non-coding RNA from Hemibagrus wyckioides, 2611 nucleotides. RefSeq lists it as uncharacterized. The record is from RefSeq and is a predicted model, not a curated record. NCBI's taxonomy places the organism in Eukaryota, Metazoa, Chordata, Actinopteri, Siluriformes, Bagridae. The transcript has 3 exons.
CCUUUUCAACACAUUUGAGAAAGAGCGAAGGCUAAAAUGAUCGCUUUGGUGUUCCUGUGUUUUGUUUAUUUAUUGAAUUUUUUACCACGUUUGAUUGAUACGAAGAACCUGACGGGUUUCCGUUCGAAAUUUCUAAAGAUCGGAUUCUUUAAAGUGCGAGAAUACAGGAGGACCGAAAAGAAAAAAAAAGAGAGAAAGCUUUUAGAGUGUUAUUCCACUGGCAGGACAUCUGAGGCUUGGCUUUGUAUCCCAGUGCUCCCCUUUUCCAUCUCUCCCUCUCUCUCAUCUUCCAGCACACAUUCAGAGGUGCGAGCUCUGACCAUCCGCCAAGCAGGAAGUGACCUCAAUGGAAAAAAAUGAAAAAAUGGGAUGAGGUGUGUGUGUGUCACUAGGAGGCCUCAUUUAUUCCAGUAAGCUGUUUUGCUGCUACCAGAUAGAGCUGAGGAAGCCAAUGGAGGCCAGAAAGGCUGAGUGAAAGUUCAUGAGUUUUAUAAUUAAAGGUCUUUCCUCUGGGUUGCACUCAUUAAACCUCCACUGAAGACUAUAAAACCAUCCCCGGUCGAAGCGUCUCCUGACCAUCAUCCGAAUCCGAUGGCGAUGACAUCACUAUUCGAAAGAGAAGCCAAAUGGUCCAUCAGGAAAAGAUUUACGAGCCGUGAACUUCGAUUCAAGACAAAAGUGGACUGGAAUUCAACUGAGUGCCACCAAAAAAAGCACUAAAUAUCUACAUCAGGGCUGAGAAGGUUCCAACUACAUGGCUCCAGGUUUGUCUGUGUGCAACACUGUGGACCAGCCUGUUGGGAAACCGGGUGUACCAGGAAAUGCUAAUUAAGAGGAGAAAAAAUUGAAAGAGUGCUUUGUUUCAAACCGUAUGAGCUUGGACAGGUAGAUACUGAACUUCUGAUGUUAUAAUCUGAGUCACAACAUGUACACACUCGCUCACAACUUAACAGUAACAAUGAUAUUACCGAAAUGAACAUCACACUGAUUUCACAGAAGGAAAUCUUCCGUGGAACCUGCACAAGAGGUGUAAUGACUAAUGAGAUGAACCAUAAUGGUAUGAUUUGGUUGGAGGAAAUCCUUUAGGAGGAAAUACAACAAUUUACUCAUUUUCCCCCACAAUUUUUUUAUUCAGUCACUGCAGAAUUGUAAGAAUUCUAUAUAUUACUUACAUUUUCUGAUCAAACAAUGUGUUGAGUAUCACUAGUGCGGUCCACGUUUAUAGCAGAUACACAAAAGUAGCAGGAUAUAUUUUGUAUUAAAAUAAGCACCACAGUUAUAUAUAUUUUUACCCUCAAAAAGUCUGAGAAAAAGUUUUAAACUUUUAAAUCCUUGUGUAUUUUUUUUGGAGUUGUGGUGGGAUUUUGCCUGACAACCUGGCAACCCUUCACACAAGCUUGUUUUGUCCUGAACCCAAUGCACACACUUAGUCUGGAGAUUUCCAGCAAGCAAAACAAAUGAAUAAAUGCAUGAAUGAAUGAAUAAAUCAUUUCACAUUGUGAGUUGAAUUUACACGGUGAAGCCUUCCUGUUAAAAUCACGGUUAAUCACGAAGACACAAAGACAAUCUAUUGGACAAUCUAGAAAGCUCAGAUGGUCAGACUCAAUCUACCUUUGGCCAUAUAGUGUAUUUUUAACAAUGCUUUAAGGAGCUCAUUAUAUCUUGUGGCACUUUUCCCUGAUGCCGUAUCUCUUUCAUUCUAGUUGUUGACUUCAAUAAACAAGUUACAGUUAGUCCAGAAUGCAGGACUAUAUGAUCAUAUAACCCCAAUAUUAUCAUCCCUGCACUGGCUACCUGUUAAGUUUAGAAUUGAUUAUAAAUUAGCACUACUUACAUACAAGGCUCUAAAUGGUUUAGCGCCCACGUAUCUAACCAGUCUUCUGACAUGCUACAAUCCACCAUGCUCCUUAAGAUCACAAAACUCUGGACUUCUGGUAGUUCCCAGAAUAUCAAAGUCUACUAAAGGGGGUAGAGCGUUUUGGUAUUUAGCUCCUAAACUUUGGAAAAGCCUUCCUGACAGUGUUGGGGGCUCAGACACAGUCUCCCAGUUUAAACAUAGAUUAAAGACAUAUCUCUUUAGCCUGGCAUACACAUAAUUCCUCCCAUAACCUUGUACUCCAGUACAUCUGAUUAUCAUCUAGUGCUGCUAAUAUCAUGAAAGGCAGCUACGCUAAUUCCUUUCCACCUGUUCCUUUUUCUAUCCACCCCGAGGCAUCUGGAGAUUGUGCCAGCUCCAGUAGACAGAGUCCAACCCUGCAAGGAUCCUGAGGCAACCAGAGAUGGACCAGCUCCAGCUGGAUUCUGCUCUGUGAGGAUUUGGGUAUAUCAAAGCAACGCUGCCAGCCCUAUGUGGACUUCAACCUCCUAAUUAAUACACACACUAACAUUCUACAUAUGCUGUAUCUGCAUCACACUGUACACUGUACAUAACUGCAGAAAGGACAUUGUUCAUAUCACACUCUUCUGUGUUUAAAAUCGUUUAUAAUCACACUCUGCGGUGUCCCCCAGAUGAGGAUGAGGUUCCCUUUUGAGUCUGGUUCCUCUCAAGGUUUCUUCCUCAUACCAUCUAAGGGAGUUUUUCCUCGCCACAGUCGCCUCAGGCUCGCUCACU